Molecule: ribosomal RNA, 577 nt
Filed under: Bacillus velezensis
Lineage: Bacteria; Bacillati; Bacillota; Bacilli; Caryophanales; Bacillaceae
Description: bacterial SSU rRNA
Rfam family: Bacterial small subunit ribosomal RNA
Source: RNAcentral
GAAGAACCUUACCAGGUCUUGACAUCCUCUGACAAUCCUAGAGAUAGGACGUCCCCUUCGGGGGCAGAGUGACAGGUGGUGCAUGGUUGUCGUCAGCUCGUGUCGUGAGAUGUUGGGUUAAGUCCCGCAACGCGCGCAACCCUUGAUCUUAGUUGCCAGCAUUCAGUUGGGCACUCUAAGGUGACUGCCGGUGACAAACCGGAGGAAGGUGGGGAUGACGUCAAAUCAUCAUGCCCCUUAUGACCUGGGCUACACACGUGCUACAAUGGGCAGAACAAAGGGCAGCGAAACCGUGAGGUUAAGCCAAUCCCACAAAUCUGUUCUCAGUUCGGAUCGCAGUCUGCAACUCGACUGCGUGAAGCUGGAAUCGCUAGUAAUCGCGGAUCAGCAUGCCGCGGUGAAUACGUUCCCGGGCCUUGUACACACCGCCCGUCACACCACGAGAGUUUGUAACACCCGAAGUCGGUGAGGUAACCUUUAUGGAGCCAGCCGCCGAAGGUGGGACAGAUGAUUGGGGUGAAGUCGUAACAAGGUAGCCGUAUCGGAAGGUGCGGCUGGAUCACCUCCUUUCUAAGGA